CCGGUAUACAUGUCAUUCCAAGCAAACAAUCAAAUAACCAAUUUUAUCAUUUCUGAUAAAAUGUCGUGUGUGGGUACACGAUCGGCCCUAGCCAAAAUAUAAUAAUCUCCUUUUUAUAAAUCCCACCAUAUUAUGUAUUCCACUAAAACAUUUUUGGUAUCAUUAACUGAUGCCCGGUUAAUUUCCAAUUAAUUUUCCAAGAUUACUUAAAAUAAUUCCCAAAUAAAUCAUUUUCGCACAAAAUAAAGCUCAAUUAAAUAAACGGACUACACCACGACAAUCAGCAUACAAUUCUGGUCACUGGCCAUCCCGGUUGAAUUUCCGGAAAAAUAAAUAAAUAAAUAAAUAAUUUCAAAAAUAAAUAAAUAAAUACUAAAAAUCCAAUUUAGGCCAGUAUUGCCUGAUUGGACGCCAGAACGGAUCGGGAAAAAUCCCGAGAUGCAUUCAAUAAAUAAAAGUACGUCUCCACUUGCUAAUGACUAAGUCUAACCACCUAACAUGCAUCGUUAAGUCACUAAUUUAAUUAUCCUAAACUAAUCUAACCACCUAAUUGCACUUAAUUAAAUCUAAC
Molecule: long non-coding RNA, 571 nt
Filed under: Eucalyptus grandis
Lineage: Eukaryota; Viridiplantae; Streptophyta; Magnoliopsida; Myrtales; Myrtaceae
Description: long non-coding RNA (EGRA_LNC006800)
Source: RNAcentral